Molecule: unclassified non-coding RNA, 309 nt
Filed under: Hevea brasiliensis (rubber tree)
Lineage: Eukaryota; Viridiplantae; Streptophyta; Magnoliopsida; Malpighiales; Euphorbiaceae
Source: RNAcentral
UUACUCAAUCGCCAUGAAUUUGGCUCAUUAUAUCUAUCAUAAAGAGGUUCAAUACGUUCCUGUCUCUUGCGCUUCGUUAAUUUUGUUGGGUCAGCCGUCUUGAAGAAUCUUGGUGCCAACUCAACAAGCCAUUUAGGAUCUACCACGGUCACCUCACGCAUGUACUCCUUUGUUGUCAUAACAAGCUCGUGAUAAAUAACCCAGUCCGGCUGUCUUUGGAAAAGAGCACUGCUAGGAUGGAUGUAAACUGGCUGGUUCUCAACUAAAGUUCUAUAACCCUCUUGAGGAUCCUUUCUAGCAGCAUGAAAA